Long non-coding RNA from Syngnathus typhle (broad-nosed pipefish), 298 nucleotides. RefSeq lists it as uncharacterized. The record is from RefSeq and is a predicted model, not a curated record. NCBI's taxonomy places the organism in Eukaryota, Metazoa, Chordata, Actinopteri, Syngnathiformes, Syngnathidae. The transcript is spliced from 3 exons.
GAAGUUUACAAGCACAGGUAAACAAUGAUGCCCGAUGACGCGUCAAUAAACACACACCAAUGAAGCAAGGAAGAGACCGCGACUGCUUUAGACCAAUGAAACCGAUAAAACACAACUGUUACACAGGAAUGGAAGGAGAUGUGUCAGAACAAAAAAGGCUCAAGAGCAACGUCAUCAGUACCCAGGAGCAGCCCACAACUUCUGUGGAGCAUCUGGAGUUUCCCCCCCUCUUUCAACUGGCUGGGACCUGAGGGCAGGGCCUGUUGAGGAUCAAGAGUGUGUGCGUGCGUUUGUGCGG